This 236-nucleotide unclassified non-coding RNA is filed under the name fungal sp. Its description in RNAcentral is "partial internal transcribed spacer region". The stretch from base 1 to 46 matches the Rfam family "Eukaryotic small subunit ribosomal RNA", at positions 1786 to 1831 of the family's 1831-position model. The record is from RNAcentral. RNAcentral also lists the same sequence under 1 other name. Lineage: Eukaryota; Fungi.
AAGUCGUAACAAGGUCUCCGUUGGUGAACCAGCGGAGGGAUCAUUAUUAGAGCCUAAAAACUCACCUAAACCAUUGUGAACUUACCUAUCUGUUGCUUCGGUGGGUGGCCCUUCCGGGGGUCCUCUAGGCCGCAAGGCGCCCGCCGGAGGUUAUUUUAAACACUAUGUCUUCUAUUGUACCUCUGAAUAAGAACCAAAAAUAAUCAAAACUUUCAACAACGGAUCUCUUGGCUCUA